CGCCCGCUCAGAAACUCAAAUGAAUUGACGGGGCCCGCACAAGCGGUGGAGCAUGUGGUUUAAUUCGAUGAUACGCGAGGAACCUUACCUGGGCUCAAAUGUAUGUUGACGUAUUCUGAAAGGGAUACUUCUUCGGACAAUAUACAAGGUGCUGCAUGGUUGUCGUCAGCUCGUGCCGUGAGGUGUCGGGUUAAGUCCCAUAACGAGCGCAACCCCUAUCAUUAGUUGCCAUCAGGUCAAGCUGGGGACUCUAAUGAAACUGCCUACGCAAGUAGUGAGGAAGGUGGGGAUGACGUCAAAUCAGCACGGCCCUUACGUCCAGGGCUACACACGUGCUACAAUGGCCGAUACAGAGGGCAGCUACCUGGUGACAGGAUGCAAAUCUCCAAAGUCGGUCUCAGUUCGGAUCGGAGUCUGCAACCCGACUCCGUGAAGUUGGAUUCGCUAGUAAUCGCGCAUCAGCCAUGGCGCGGUGAAUACGUUCCCGGGCCUU
Molecule: ribosomal RNA, 493 nt
Filed under: uncultured Sphingobacteriales bacterium
Lineage: Bacteria; Pseudomonadati; Bacteroidota; Sphingobacteriia; Sphingobacteriales
Description: bacterial SSU rRNA
Rfam family: Bacterial small subunit ribosomal RNA
Source: RNAcentral